Molecule: non-coding RNA, 1925 nt
Organism: Notechis scutatus (mainland tiger snake)
Lineage: Eukaryota; Metazoa; Chordata; Lepidosauria; Squamata; Elapidae
Source: RefSeq, a predicted model, not a curated record
UGUUACUUAUCUUCAGUGGGUCGUGGUCUUGCCGCCAUUUUGGACUUCCUUUUCCCCCAUCCCCUUCUUCUCCACAGCAAUCGAAAGAAGCAGCGAUUGAGCGGAGAGCUCUUCGUGCGCUUUCUUUCCCCUCCUUUCCGUCUUACUUGCGAUCCGUACGGUUAGCAAACUCGAGCUAUGUCCGCCAACAGGAACCUCAAGCAAGUGAGGAUCGAGAACAAUUCUCCGGCGUCGGCACCUCCGAUAAGUAUGGUGGGCGGCGGCCCGAUGAAGGCGCUGAGGGGUUUGGAGAAACCGUCCGAGAACGAAGCUUUGGCCGCCGCGAUGGCGAUGGUGAAGGAGGAAGAGGAGGGAAUCGGCGGAGGCUUUACGGUCGACAUUAAGAGCUUCCUCAAGCCCGGCGAGAAGAGCUAUACGCAAAGGUGCCGCCUCUUCGUCGGGAACCUUCCCACCGACAUCACCGAGGAGGACUUUAAACGCCUUUUUGAGCGCUACGGGGAGCCCAGCGAGGUCUUCAUCAACCGCGACCGCGGCUUCGGCUUCAUCCGCUUGGAAUCCAGGACUCUGGCUGAAAUAGCAAAGGCAGAACUUGAUGGAACAAUUUUAAAGAGCAGGCCACUCCGAAUUCGAUUUGCCACCCAUGGAGCUGCUUUAACAAUUAAGAAUCUUUCACCAGUUGUUUCCAAUGAGCUUUUGGAACAAGCUUUCUCUCAGUUUGGGCCUGUGGAAAGAGCGGUUGUUGUUGUAGAUGAUCGUGGUAGAGCAACAGGCAAAGGUUUUGUGGAAUUUGCUGCAAAGCCUCCAGCGCGUAAAGCUCUAGAAAGAUGUGGUGACGGCGCAUUCUUGCUUACAACAACUCCUAGACCUGUUCUUGUUGAACCUAUGGAACAGUUUGAUGGUGAAGAUGGUUUGCCUGAGAAAUUAAUGCAAAAAACACAACAGUAUCAUAAGGAAAGAGAACAGCCCCCACGUUUUGCCCAACCUGGAACGUUUGAAUUUGAAUAUGCUUCACGAUGGAAAGCUCUUGAUGAAAUGGAAAAACAACAGCGGGAACAAGUUGAUAGAAACAUUAGAGAAGCUAAGGAGAAGCUAGAAGCAGAAAUGGAAGCAGCUCGACAUGAGCAUCAGCUAAUGUUGAUGAGACAAGAUCUUAUGAGGCGUCAGGAAGAACUGAGACGUUUAGAAGAACUUCGAAACCAAGAGCUACAGAAAAGAAAGCAGAUACAAUUAAGGCAUGAAGAAGAGCAUAGGAGACGUGAAGAAGAGAUGCUGCGUCAGAGAGAACAGGAGGAACUGAGGAGACAGCAAGAUGGUUUCAAGCCGAAUUUCAUGGAUGCUAGAGAACAGGAAAUGAGAAUGGGUGAUAUGGGUCCUCGUGGAGCAUUAAACAUGGGAGAUGCCUUUAGCCCAGCACCUGCUGGAAACCAAGGUCCUCCUCCACCUCCAAUGAUGAGUAUGAAUAUGAACAACAGAGGGACAAUGCCUGGCCCUGCAAUGGGGCCAGGUCCUUCGUUGGGGCCAGAAGGAGCGACAAACAUUGGAACCCCAAUGAUGCCAGAUAAUGGAACUGUGGAAGCUGUUAAGAUUCUGAAGUAUGGCUGAAGAUGCAAAAUCACCCAGGAAGGAUGAAUUCUUUAUAUUUCAGGACAGUUGCACCAUGCAGAGUUCAGCAAGCAACUAUGAUCUCUGGGUUGUAUUGACAAAAAGGAGGAAUCCUCUAAGAAUAGCAAUCAUGAACGCGGCCAGGAAUAAAACGAGGACACCAUUAUAAAAUUAUAAAGUUGGAGUACAGCUUCAAAACUUCAUUCAGCUUUUAUUUGAAGAAUCCCUCUUGAAACUUGAGAGUCCUAAGCUACUUGAUCGAAUAUAUUGCUCCUGUGAAACAGAAGGGAGAAACUAUGUCUGCAUAAGAACAAUGCUUGAAU